Eurytemora carolleeae is the source of this 923-nucleotide long non-coding RNA. RefSeq lists it as uncharacterized. The record is from RefSeq and is a predicted model, not a curated record. NCBI's taxonomy places the organism in Eukaryota, Metazoa, Arthropoda, Copepoda, Calanoida, Temoridae. The transcript has 3 exons.
AGAUAUCCUUGCUCUCAGUGUGAGUAUGCUGCAACUAAAGCAAGUUCUCUGAAGAGACAUUUUGAAAAUAAACAUGAAGGAGUAAGAUAUCCCUGUUUUCAAUGUGAAUAUAGUGCAACUGACGUAAGUAAUCUAAAGAAACAUGUUGAAAUUAAACAUGAAGGAGAGAGAUAUCCUUGUUCUCAAUGCGAACAUGCCGCAACUUCAGCAAGGGAUCUGAAGAGACAUGUUAAUAGUAAACAUGAAGGAUUGAGGUAUCCCUGCUCUCAAUGUGAAUAUAGUGCAACUGACGAAAGUAAUCUGAAGAGACAUGUUGAAAGUAAACACAAUGGAGUGAGGUAUCCAUGCCCAAAAUGUGAGUUCGCUGCAACUAGAGCAGAUGCGCUGAAGAUUCAUGUUGAGAGUAAACAUGAAGGGUGGAGAUAUUAUUGCCCACAAUGUGAGUUUGUCGCAACUGCAGCAAUUAAUCUGAAGAGACAUGUUAAAAGUAAACAUUAAGGAGCGAGAUAUCCUUGCCCUGAAUGUAAAUAUGCUGCAACUCUGAAAAGAGAUAGAAUAACAGAGAUUUUGAAGAAAGAAGUAGAUGUCAAGGAAUCUGAGAUAACCUCUACUAUUGAGGAUACAUGUUUUGUUAAAAUACCUGAAGAUGAUAUAAAGCAGGAAAAUACAGAAAUACAAGAGUGCCACCAGCAUUGAAACACAGGGCCGAGGCCCGAGAUUAUAAAGAAAGAAUUAAGUAGAUGUGAAGGUCUCUGAGAUAACCUCUACUGAAAUGAUCACAUAUGCUUUUUGAAUAUACCUCAAGAUAAUAAAAAGCUGGAAAAUACAGAAAUGAAAGGUAAUCUUGAUAAAUUUAUAUUUUCUUUAAGAAUAGAAGCGAAUUGUGUUUGUAGAGGGGGGGGGAAGGUUGUGAGGUAUUUAUA